UACGGAGGAUGCGAGCGUUAUCCGGAUUUAUUGGGUUUAAAGGGUGCGUAGGCGGAGUGCCGAGUCAGCGGUAAAAAUUCGGGGCUCAACCCCGUCGUGCCGUUGAAACUGGCGCCCUUGAGUGGGCGAGAAGUAUGCGGAAUGCGUGGUGUAGCGGUGAAAUGCAUAGAUAUCACGCAGAACCCCGAUUGCGAAGGCAGCAUACCGGCGCCCGACUGACGCUGAAGCACGAAAGCGUGGGUAUCGAACAGG
RNAcentral lists this ribosomal RNA (252 nucleotides) under uncultured bacterium. Its description in RNAcentral is "partial 16S ribosomal RNA". It matches the Rfam family "Bacterial small subunit ribosomal RNA", at positions 524 to 776 of the family's 1533-position model. The record is from RNAcentral.